This 468-nucleotide ribosomal RNA is filed under the name uncultured bacterium. RNAcentral describes it as "partial 16S ribosomal RNA". It matches the Rfam family "Bacterial small subunit ribosomal RNA", at positions 28 to 507 of the family's 1533-position model. The record is from RNAcentral.
GACGAACGCUGGCGGCGUGCUUAACACAUGCAAGUCGAACGGAAAGGCCCUGCUUUUGUGGGGUGCUCGAGUGGCGAACGGGUGAGUAACACGUGAGUAACCUGCCCUUGACUUUGGGAUAACUUCAGGAAACUGGGGCUAAUACCGGAUAGGAGCUCCUGCUGCAUGGUGGGGGUUGGAAAGUUUUGGCGGUUGGGGAUGGACUCGCGGCUUAUCAGCUUGUUGGUGGGGUAGUGGCUUACCAAGGCUUUGACGGGUAGCCGGCCUGAGAGGGUGACCGGCCACAUUGGGACUGAGAUACGGCCCAGACUCCUACGGGAGGCAGCAGUGGGGAAUAUUGCACAAUGGGCGGAAGCCUGAUGCAGCAACGCCGCGUGCGGGAUAACGGCCUUCGGGUUGUAAACCGCUUUCGCCUGUGACGAAGCGUGAGUGACGGUAAUGGGUAAAGAAGCACCGGCUAACCACGUG